Molecule: non-coding RNA, 206 nt
Organism: Pelobates cultripes (western spadefoot toad)
Lineage: Eukaryota; Metazoa; Chordata; Amphibia; Anura; Pelobatidae
Source: the annotation of a GenBank genome assembly
GUGGUUUUAGCAGCAACAAGAUAAUGCUGUAAAAAAAAAAAAAACACACUCCAGAGGUAAUAUGAUAAAAUGUAUCUGGGGAACACAGAGACCUAGUUGGGCAGCAAGAAAUCAUGUGCAGAUAUUCUUUAAAGACAGAGGUCCCCUUUCCUGUUUUCAUUCAUUUGCUAGAGAGUCAGCAUUCUGGACUUACAACACCCCCUCCC